AGAAUGAAUGCGGCUCUGCCAUUUUAGAGAAGACUGAAUCUGUACCAUUUGAAGUCCAAGGCAAGCCCAUGGAAACUUUUCUGAAUGAUGGAAUUGGAGAGGGGCCUGAAGCUGCACCACUGGAAAGCAGAGUCAGGACCAUGGAAAAUACUCUGAAUGAUGCCAUUGGAGAGGAGGCUGAAGAUGCAGCAUUGGAAAGCAGAGUUGGGACCAUGGAAAACACUCUGGAUGAUGCAAUUGGAGAGGAGCCUGAAGCCGUACCAGUGGAAAACAGAGGCAAGACCAUGGAAAGUACUCUGAAGGAUGCAGGAUCGCUGCCGAGUAACGGCAGUGCUGAACCUGAACCUGAGCCUGCCCUGCCUGAAAGCGCAACCAACGGACCACCUCCGUGUGAGCACGACGGUGGCGCGCUGCACGGUGAUAGUGCUGACUCGGAGGUGUCAUCGGGGAGCCAAGGUGACCUGCAGAAGGAGCAGGAUGGUGAUGACGCUUCUGAGACAACCCAAGGCAAUGUCAU
This 517-nucleotide long non-coding RNA is filed under the name Triticum aestivum (bread wheat). RNAcentral describes it as "long non-coding RNA (TAES_LNC006520)". Lineage: Eukaryota; Viridiplantae; Streptophyta; Magnoliopsida; Poales; Poaceae. The record is from RNAcentral.